GACGAACGCUGGCGGCGUGCUUAACACAUGCAAGUCGAACGGUAAGGCCCUUCGGGGUACACGAGUGGCGAACGGGUGAGUAACACGUGGGUGAUCUGCCCUGCACUUCGGGAUAAGCCUGGGAAACUGGGUCUAAUACCGGAUAGGACCACUGCCUGCAUGGGUGGUGGUGGAAAGCUUUUGCGGUGUGGGAUGGGCCCGCGGCCUAUCAGCUUGUUGGUGGGGCGAUGGCCUACCAAGGCGACGACGGGUAGGCGGCCUGAGAGGGUGACCGGCAACACGGGGACUGGGAUACGGCCCAGACUCGUACGCGAGGCAGCAGUGGGGAAUAUGGCACAAUGGGCGCAAGCCUGAUGCAGCGACGCCGCGUGAGGGAUGACGGCCUUCGGGUUGUAAACCUCUUUCAGCACCGACGAAGCGCAAGUGACGGUAGGUGCAGAAGAAGGACCGGCCAACUACGUGCCAGCCGCCGCCGUAA
RNAcentral lists this ribosomal RNA (478 nucleotides) under uncultured bacterium. Its description in RNAcentral is "partial 16S ribosomal RNA". It matches the Rfam family "Bacterial small subunit ribosomal RNA", at positions 28 to 523 of the family's 1533-position model. The record is from RNAcentral.